Long non-coding RNA from Molossus molossus (Pallas's mastiff bat), 407 nucleotides. RefSeq lists it as uncharacterized. The transcript has 3 exons. The record is from RefSeq and is a predicted model, not a curated record. Lineage: Eukaryota; Metazoa; Chordata; Mammalia; Chiroptera; Molossidae.
UUCCACAUCGAGAUUCUGUCGGGCAGCACCUUGGUCUGGGCAUUGUUGCUGGAAGCCGUCAGCUCUGUGAAAGCAAAGAGCUCGCAGGACCUCCCAGGACAGUAACUCGAAUUUCGAAUAUCAGCAGGAAAUGUGUUUUUGGAGAAGGAUACUCAUAGAAAAUCCAUGAGGAUAAGACAUCAGUGAAAUAGUGAAGAUAGAAAGACCCCAUCUUUACAGGGACUCUGAGUGGUAUUUCCUUCUUUUGCUUGUACUAGCUGACACCAGCUUUAAUUCAACCUAUGGAGGGACAGAUGAAAUAAAGCAGCUGUCAAAUAAGGACAACCAGGACAACUGGGUCAUCAGCUGUUUUUAAACUUUCAGAAAUCGGUGGAUGGACUAAAACUUUCCCUUUGAUAGAGCUUUAA